This 685-nucleotide long non-coding RNA is filed under the name Durio zibethinus. Its description in RNAcentral is "long non-coding RNA (DZIB_LNC001759)". Lineage: Eukaryota; Viridiplantae; Streptophyta; Magnoliopsida; Malvales; Malvaceae. The record is from RNAcentral.
UGAGAUCUAAUGAAAUCAAAAUGAAUAGGGUUUCGCAAGUUUGUGUGUGAAUUAAGACAUUUAACCUCGGACAACUAGCACAAAGAAUAUCCUAAGUAUAUUUCAAAUACAAACCAUUGAAAUUUCACAGCUUCAACAAUGAGAAAAUACUCCCUAAUUAAGCUAAUAUUCUUCUCGUAAGCCUCUUGUCGUGUGGGGCAGACACCAUCUCAGAUCGAAGAAAAAGCAUUAUACUUUCACUACAUAUGUCGGUCAUUUCACGGUAUCAAAAGAGAAGAUGAAAAAGUCGUCCGAAAAGUUUCUUUAUUAUUUUAAAGCCGUACAAUUUGUACCCCCUCUUUAACUUUUCUCAGCCGUCCCCAAAAUGCGCUGACGUGAAUAAGAUUUUGCUGGUUGUUGUGGUUGGAUGAUUGAUCAUCUUGUUUGAUGUCGGCGACCCAAAAAAGAAACCGAAAUGAAGUGGUAAGCACUUUCAUGCUGUCUAUAAUAAGCUAGAUCCAAAUUGAUGGGCAACGCGGCAUUCCACUUGACUUUUAAAAUGCUUUUAUUUACGUGGGGGAAAAAGCAAGCUAGCUGGAUCAAGUACAUACCUUUGCGUACCGUCUUAAGUUUCAAGCAAUUCUCACGAUAAAUAUGAUCAAUAGGUCGGCAAUUCAAUUUGUUUCUAACAUAUUUUAAUUCGAAU